UUGACCUCAGAUCAGACAA
Molecule: ribosomal RNA, 19 nt
Filed under: Arthrobotrys sp. r251
Lineage: Eukaryota; Fungi; Ascomycota; Orbiliomycetes; Orbiliales; Orbiliaceae
Description: partial 28S ribosomal RNA
Source: RNAcentral